Molecule: ribosomal RNA, 339 nt
Filed under: Gephyromantis luteus
Lineage: Eukaryota; Metazoa; Chordata; Amphibia; Anura; Mantellidae
Description: partial 16S ribosomal RNA
Rfam family: Bacterial large subunit ribosomal RNA
Source: RNAcentral
GGUUAUACUGUCUCCUUUCUCUAAUCAGUGAAACUAAUCUCCCCGUGAAGAAGCGGGGAUAAAACUAUAAGACGAGAAGACCCCAUGGAGCUUUAAACCUAGCCACACCCAGAAUCUUUAUACCUAACUAUUAUCUGAACCCUGUAAGCUAGGCUUUAGGUUGGGGUGACCGCGGAGUAAAACAAAACCUCCGCAAUGAACGAAACUACCGUCUUAUCUAAGAAUAACCCCUCUAAGAAUUAGCACUCUAACAUAAAUGAUCCAAUUAUUGAUCAACGGACCAAGUUACCCUGGGGAUAACAGCGCAAUCCACUUCAAGAGCUCCUAUCGACAGGUGGG